Long non-coding RNA from Carassius gibelio (silver crucian carp), 577 nucleotides. RefSeq lists it as uncharacterized. NCBI's taxonomy places the organism in Eukaryota, Metazoa, Chordata, Actinopteri, Cypriniformes, Cyprinidae. The transcript is spliced from 2 exons. The record is from RefSeq and is a predicted model, not a curated record.
AUACCGCUUUGAGAAUGUAUAAGUGAAAUUCUCGAAGGACAGAAAUAGGUGGGCCCUUAAGGAGCUCUAGGAUGUCUGGGUGAAAGGGGAGAACAUUUUCUGAGCUCAGCGCAGUGGGAGUGAGAACAAAGGAGGACGUUUCCACAGUAAAGUUGUAUUACAUGGGUGGAGCAAGAGGUGCUCUCCCCUCCUGGACCAUCACUUGGGAGUGAUCAGGUUACAGAGACUGGUGUUGAGAAAGGAUAAGUGCAGGAGCCCUAAAACAAUAAAGUUAACUGAAGGAAGGUUGUUUUAGAGAAAAAUAAAUACAAAUGUUCCAAAAAAUGGACUAAUAUAGAGAUGGCAGAUAUGGUGGAAUAUAGAAAUAAUAAUAAAUUAAUUAAAAUAAGAUAUGCAUUUAUUAUUUAAUAACUUGUCUGAAUAGAUUAAUUUAAAAGAUGCACGUGCUUAAAACUUUUUUUAAUAUGUGAAGACAUCUAAAAUUUGUAUCUUGUUAUCCCUGGGACAGUAUGAAAGUUAAUCCAUUACAGAGUUUCAGAGAUUGGGCUUGUGUAAAUGUAAAAAAUAAAAGAAAUAA